Molecule: long non-coding RNA, 980 nt
Organism: Triticum dicoccoides
Lineage: Eukaryota; Viridiplantae; Streptophyta; Magnoliopsida; Poales; Poaceae
Exons: 5
Source: RefSeq, a predicted model, not a curated record
UGCCGUCUCGAUACGAUCCACAGCCGCGGCCCCAACAAUCACGCAUGAAAAAAGGAAGCAGAUCCAAUUGAAUCCCCUCACCCUCAAUGGAGCGCUGCACCUCCGGCUUGUGGCAUCAGCCUUCUCUCCCUCCUCACCAGAUUUCGUCUUCGCCAUCGAGAGGUGUUAAGGGAGGCGCCCGCGACGCGAUGACGGCGGGGAGAAGCGACGCAUUGGCGGACAGCCGGACAACAGCGCAUGUGCAGCACAUAGCAGCGGCGGCUGUAAGGCCAUGGCGGACGAGCAGGUGGUGUGGCUGAGGGCGGGAGAAGAGAGGCUGGGCAGCGCCGGAGGCGGAGCUCGGCCGCGAGCGUGGCACGCACAGGGCAGUGCCGCGCGAGCGCCCUGCAGCCGCAUCACCGAGCGGUAGCCCCGCCGCCACACUACUACACGAGGGCAGCGCCACCGCAUCGCCGAGCCACAGCCCGGCCGUUCUCGGCCGGAGGUCGCCGACGCCUUUCCCAACUUUUGGGUUGGCACCUUGAUCGGACGCCUCCCUUUUGGCUAACAUGUUUCAGGAGAGGCUUAGAGGAAGGCGCUGCAGCAUGGAUGCACAUGGGAUGCUGCAGAUACAUGUGCCAAAGAGGAGGAGAGUAUGAAAAGAUAAAGGAGUCAAGAAGGACCGAAGGAGAAAUCAUAUGAACAUGAACCUGAUGAUGACCCAUAGUUGGAUGUAUGUGAGAGGAUCCACAAAUUGUCAAGCACACAUGCUACAACCAUCAACUUCUGGGAUAUUAACUAUCUAACAAGGCAAUGUUCACAAAAUGGUUUCCAUCAUCUAUGCGAUUCUGUUUCAAUUAUAGCUGUUUGUUUCUCCAAUGACUAUGUCUACUGUUACGCACGAUAAGAAAUCUAUUCAGGCUAUGUCACUGCAUCCAAAAGACUUGGUACCCACGAGUUCGUUUUCCUAUUAUGUACAUUGCUGGAAGCCUGGAACCUUU